CAGGCUUAACACAUGCAAGUCGAGGGGCAUCAGGAAGAAAGCUUGCUUUCUUUGCUGGCGACCGGCGCACGGGUGAGUAACACGUAUCCAACCUGCCCUUUACUCGGGGAUAGCCUUUCGAAAGAAAGAUUAAUACCCGAUAGCAUAAUGAUUCCGCAUGGUUUCAUUAUUAAAGGAUUCCGGUAAAGGAUGGGGAUGCGUUCCAUUAGGUUGUUGGUGAGGUAACGGCCCACCAAGCCUUCGAUGGAUAGGGGUUCUGAGAGGAAGGUCCCCCACAUUGGAACUGAGACACGGCCCAAACUCCUACGGGAGGCAGCAGUGAGGAAUAUUGGUCAAUGGGCGCUAGCCUGAACCAGCCAAGUAGCGUGAAGGAUGAAGGCUCUAUGGGUCGUAAACUUCUUUUAUAUAAGAAUAAAGUGCAGUAUGUAUACUGUUUUGUAUGUAUUAUAUGAAUAAGGAUCGGCUAACUCCGUGCCAGCAGCCGCGGUAAUACGGAGGAUCCGAGCGUUAUCCGGAUUUAUUGGGUUUAAAGGGAGCGUAGGUGGACUGGUAAGUCAGUUGUGAAAGUUUGCGGCUCAACCGUAAAAUUGCAGUUGAUACUGUCAGUCUUGAGUACAGUAGAGGUGGGCGGAAUUCGUGGUGUAGCGGUGAAAUGCUUAGAUAUCACGAAGAACUCCGAUUGCGAAGGCAGCUCACUGGACUGCAACUGACACUGAUGCUCGAAAGUGUGGGUAUCAAACAGGAUUAGAUACCCUGGUAGUCCACACAGUAAACGAUGAAUACUCGCUGUUUGCGAUAUACAGUAAGCGGCCAAGCGAGAGCAUUAAGUAUUCCACCUGGGGAGUACGCCGGCAACGGUGAAACUCAAAGGAAUUGACGGGGGCCCGCACAAGCGGAGGAACAUGUGGUUUAAUUCGAUGAUACGCGAGGAACCUUACCCGGGCUUAAAUUGCAGUGGAAUGAUGUGGAAACAUGUCAGUGAGCAAUCACCGCUGUGAAGGUGCUGCAUGGUUGUCGUCAGCUCGUGCCGUGAGGUGUCGGCUUAAGUGCCAUAACGAGCGCAACCCUUAUCUUCAGUUACUAACAGGUCAUGCUGAGGACUCUGGAGAGACUGCCGUCGUAAGAUGUGAGGAAGGUGGGGAUGACGUCAAAUCAGCACGGCCCUUACGUCCGGGGCUACACACGUGUUACAAUGGGGGGUACAGAAGGCAGCUAGCGGGUGACCGUAUGCUAAUCCCAAAAGCCCCCCUCAGUUCGGAUCGAAGUCUGCAACCCGACUUCGUGAAGCUGGAUUCGCUAGUAAUCGCGCAUCAGCCACGGCGCGGUGAAUACGUUCCCGGGCCUUGUACACACCGCCCGUCAAGCCAUGGGAGCCGGGGGUACCUGAAGUACGUAACCGCAAGGAUCGUCCUAGGGUAAAACUGGUGACUGGGGCUAAGU
RNAcentral lists this ribosomal RNA (1440 nucleotides) under uncultured organism. RNAcentral describes it as "16S ribosomal RNA". It matches the Rfam family "Bacterial small subunit ribosomal RNA". The record is from RNAcentral.